AGAAGGAGGCAGGCCAAUACUUGAGCACGUUUUUGAGGUUAUCGUCUAUUUGGUAAUUUCUUUCAUUUUUAAAUUUUUUGUGCUUGUUUUCAACUUAGUUUUUAAGAAGUGUACAAAAUUUGAGUUAAGAUCAAUAGUUCAUUCAUUAGUUAUUGAGGUUUAAAUGUUUUUUAGAAAUUACUAGGAUUUGGUUAAGAUUUGAUUUAGGAUUUAGGGUUUGGUUAGGAUGUGAUUUAGAAUUAGGAUUUGGUUAGAAUUUGAUUUAGGAUUAGGAUUUAGUUUAGAAUUUAGGAUUUGAUUUAGGAUUUAAGAUUUGAUUAGAAUUUGGUUAGAAUUUGAUUUAGGGUUUAGGAUUUGGUUAGGAUUUGAUUUAGGAUUUAAGAUUUGAUUAGGAUUUGAUUUAUGGUUUGAUUAGGAUUUGAUUUACGAUUUGAUUAGGAUUUGAUUUAGGAUUUAAGAUUUGAUUAGAAUUUGAUUUACGGUUUGAUUAAGAUUUGAUUUACGAUUUGAUUAGGAUUUGAUUUAGGAUUUAGGAUUUUAUUAAAGUUUAUUUAGGAUUUAAGAUUUAAUUAUUUUUUGGCCUAAAGUCUAAUAGGAUUUUAACUAGGAUUAAAUUAAGAUUGAAUUGAGAUGUAUUUGAGAUAUAUUUGUGAUCAUUUUAAUAUUUCUUUAAGAUUUUUUAUUAUUUCUUUGUAAUUCCUUUGAAGUUUUUUUGAAUUUGAUUAAAGCUUGAUUAACAUUGUUAUGAUCUAAUUAAAUUUUAGUUAAUAUUCUAUUAGAAUUAGGAUUUUAUUUUUAUAAUUUCUAUUCUAUUUUCUACAACCAGGUGGCCAGAGCAUUCUCAAGCAAGACUUUACGUAUCACAACAACGUGUACGGGUUUAGUUUUUCAUAUUAACUGUUUAUUAUGUUUUUAACAAAUUCUUCAUCUAAAAAAUAAGUUGAGGCU
Molecule: long non-coding RNA, 948 nt
Filed under: Physcomitrium patens
Lineage: Eukaryota; Viridiplantae; Streptophyta; Bryopsida; Funariales; Funariaceae
Description: long non-coding RNA (PPAT_LNC012175)
Source: RNAcentral